ACUACGGGUGGCAGCAGUGAGGAAUAUUGGUCAAUGGGCGGAAGCCUGAACCAGCCAAGUAGCGUGCAGGAUGACGGCCCUACGGGUUGUAAACUGCUUUUAUACGGGAAUAACGCGCCUUACGUGUAGGGCUUUGCAUGUACCGUAUGAAUAAGGACCGGCUAAUUCCGUGCCAGCAGCCGCGGUAAUACGGAAGGGCCGGUCGUUAUCCGGAUUUUUUGGGUUUAAAGGGAGGGUAGGCGGCAUGUCAAGCGUGCUGUGAAAUGUCCGGGCUCAACCCGGGCCUUGCAGCGCGAACUGGCGUGCUUGAGUCCGCUGAAGGCAGGCGGAAUUCGUCGUGUAGCGGUGAAAUGCUUAGAUAUGACGAAGAACCCCGAUUGCGAAGGCAGCUUGCUGCAGCGGAACUGACGCUGAUGCUCGAAAGCGCGGGUAUCGAACAGGAUUAGAUACCCGUGUAGUC
This 460-nucleotide ribosomal RNA is filed under the name uncultured bacterium. Its description in RNAcentral is "partial 16S ribosomal RNA". It matches the Rfam family "Bacterial small subunit ribosomal RNA", at positions 338 to 795 of the family's 1533-position model. The record is from RNAcentral.